This 288-nucleotide long non-coding RNA is filed under the name Pan troglodytes (chimpanzee). RNAcentral describes it as "lincRNA". Lineage: Eukaryota; Metazoa; Chordata; Mammalia; Primates; Hominidae. The record is from RNAcentral.
AGCUGAGACACUCAUCUUCUCCUGCCCUGGCACAUCAAAACUCCAGGUUCUCUGAUCUUUGAACACUGGGACUUAAUCCAGCAUCCCCUUACUGCCUGAAGUUCUCAGGACUUUGGACUUGGACUGAACGAUGCUACCAGCUUCCCUGGCUUUCCAGCUUGUAGAUGGCAUAUCAUGGAAUUUCUCAGUCUCCAAAGUAAUGAACAAGCAACCAAGAACCACAAAAAUCACUGGCCACUGACAAAUGACACUUCAAGAGGAAUACAGGCUUAAUAGCUGCGAACACAG